UACGUAGGGGGCAAGCGUUAUCCGGAUUUACUGGGUGUAAAGGGAGCGUAGACGGCUAGACAAGUCUGAAGUGAAAAUCCAGCGCUUAACGUUGGAAGUGCUUUGGAAACUGCCGGGCUAGAGUGCAGGAGGGGCAGGCGGAAUUCCUAGUGUAGCGGUGAAAUGCGUAGAUAUUAGGAGGAACACCAGUGGCGAAGGCGGCCUGCUGGACUGCAACUGACGUUGAGGCUCGAAGGCGUGGGGAGCUAACAGG
RNAcentral lists this ribosomal RNA (253 nucleotides) under uncultured bacterium. RNAcentral's name for it is "partial 16S ribosomal RNA". It matches the Rfam family "Bacterial small subunit ribosomal RNA", at positions 524 to 776 of the family's 1533-position model. The record is from RNAcentral.